GACGAACGCUGGCGGCGUGCUUAAUACAUGCAAGUCGAACGGAAAGGCCCUACUUUUGUUGGUUGCACGUGUGCCGCGCGGGUGAGUAACACGUGAGUAUCCUCUACUUAUCUUACGGGUAACUCCUGGAAACUCGGGCUAAUACCGCAUCUAAGCUCCUGCUCCGUGUUGUGGGUUGGAGAGUUUCGGUGGUUGGGGAUGGACUAGCGGCGUCUCAGCUUGUUGGUGGGGUAGUGGCUUACCAAGGCUUUGACGGGUAGCCGGCCUGAGAGGGUGACCGGCCACAUUGGGACUGAGAUACGGCCCAGACUCCUACGGGAGGCAGCAGUGGGGAAUAUUGCACAAUGGGCGGAAGCCUGAUGCAGCAACGCCGCGUGCGGGAUGACGGCCUUCGGGUUGUAAACCGCUUUCGCCUGUGACGAAGCGUGAGUGACGGUAAUGGGUAAAGAAGCACCGGCUAACUACGUG
This 468-nucleotide ribosomal RNA is filed under the name uncultured bacterium. RNAcentral's name for it is "partial 16S ribosomal RNA". It matches the Rfam family "Bacterial small subunit ribosomal RNA", at positions 28 to 507 of the family's 1533-position model. The record is from RNAcentral.